RNAcentral lists this ribosomal RNA (257 nucleotides) under uncultured Pseudomonas sp. Its description in RNAcentral is "partial 16S ribosomal RNA". It matches the Rfam family "Bacterial small subunit ribosomal RNA", at positions 96 to 354 of the family's 1533-position model. The record is from RNAcentral. Lineage: Bacteria; Pseudomonadati; Pseudomonadota; Gammaproteobacteria; Pseudomonadales; Pseudomonadaceae.
CGGCGGACGGGUGAGUAAUGCCUAGGAAUCUGCCUGGUAGUGGGGGACAACGUUUCGAAAGGAACGCUAAUACCGCAUACGUCCUACGGGAGAAAGCAGGGGACCUUCGGGCCUUGCGCUAUCAGAUGAGCCUAGGUCGGAUUAGCUAGUUGGUGAGGUAAUGGCUCACCAAGGCGACGAUCCGUAAUUGGUCUGAGAGGAUGAUCAGUCACACUGGAACUGAGACACGGUCCAGACUCCUACGGGAGGCAGCAGAC